UAGUCAUAUGCUUGUCUCAAAGAUUAAGCCAUGCAUGUCUAAGUAUAAGCUUGUUUAUACGGCGAGACUGCGGAUGGCUCAUUAAAUCAGUUAUAGUUUAUUUGAUGGUCUCUUUUGUCUUUUUUUACCUACUUGGAUAACCGUGGUAAUUCUAGAGCUAAUACAUGCGCAAGGUCCCGAGCGCGGGGGGCAGGGCUUCACGGCCCUGUCCUCGCAUGCGCAGAGGGAUGUAUUUAUUAGGUUAAAAACCAGCGGCAGGGGUCAGCAAUGGCCCCU
This 276-nucleotide ribosomal RNA is filed under the name uncultured eukaryote. RNAcentral describes it as "partial 18S ribosomal RNA". It matches the Rfam family "Eukaryotic small subunit ribosomal RNA", at positions 21 to 251 of the family's 1831-position model. The record is from RNAcentral.